Molecule: small RNA, 566 nt
Filed under: Pan troglodytes (chimpanzee)
Lineage: Eukaryota; Metazoa; Chordata; Mammalia; Primates; Hominidae
Description: retained intron
Source: RNAcentral
CAGGAGCUGGGAGGGAGACAUGGAAGUGCUCAUCAGAGCUCCCCAGGGCCUGCCCCACAGUGAGGCCUCAGCACUGCAGCUUGAUUUUCACCUUUACCAUCUCUUUUAAUCUGUUGAGCUUCUGGAGACAUUUCUCUGCCAAACCAAGACUGGAAACGAUUGAGCUCACCUGUGCACUUUGCAAACUUCGAAGUGCAGCGCACAGGGCAACAGCUGGGCUGCAUUGUAUUCUCAGGCUCCUAUGCCUGGGCCAACUUCACCAUCCUGGCCUUGGGCGUGUGGGCUGUGGCUCAGCGGGACUCCAUCGACGCCAUAAGCAUGUUUCUGGGUGGCUUGCUGGCCACCAUCUUCCUGGACAUCGUGCACAUCAGCAUCUUCUACCCGCGGGUCAGCCUCACGGACACGGGCCGCUUUGGCGUGGGCAUGGCCAUCCUCAGCUUGCUGCUCAAGCCGCUCUCCUGCUGCUUCGUCUACCACAUGUACCGGGAGCGCGGGGGUGAGCUCCUGGUCCACGCUGGUUUCCUUGGGUCUUCUCAGGACCGUAGUGCCUACCAGACGAUUGACUC